AGAGAGAGACAUGCGCGCAUAUCAAUAAGCGGAGGAAAAGAAACUAACAAGGAUUCCCUUAGUAACGGCGAGUGAAGCGGGAAGAGCUCAAAUUUGAAAUCUUCAAGGUUUUACCUUGACGAAUUGUAGUUUAAAGAAGUGUUUUCUGCUGAAGUUUUGGUAAAAGUUCUUUGGAAUAGGACAUCAUAGAGGGUGAGAAUCCCGUAUUUGACCAUUAUUUUCAGCUUUGCUGAUACACUUUCAAAGAGUCGGAUUGUUUGGGAAUGCAGUCCAAAAUGGGUGGUAAAUUUCAUCUAAAGCUAAAUAUUGGCGAGAGACCGAUAGCGAACAAGUACCGUGAGGGAAAGAUGAAAAGAACUUUGAAAAGAGAGUUAAACAGUACGUGAAAUUGUCAAAAGGGAAGCGUUUGACACCAGUGUUGUUUUCUCGAAAAUCAAUUAAAAAUGGCUCGAUUUUGUAUUGCUGAGACCUUAAAAGCUCACUGUACAUUUUUCGUGUCUUUUUUAAUGCACUUUUCGUUUAACAAGUCAACAUCAGUUUCUUUUGUUGUAAAAGGGUCAUUGGAAGGUGGCUUUCUUUUCGGAGAAAGUGUUUAUAGCCUUUGGCCUCUGCAAUCGAAGAGACUGAGGUCUGCAGCGUAGACUCUUCGGGGUUAGAUACAUUUGUGCUGAGUUAUAGCUUUUUAUAGACAACUUGUUGACUAUAAUUAGUCUUGUAGCUUACUCGCUUAUGCUAUUUUACCUACGCUUAGGAUGUUGAAGAUGUAGCACAUCAU
RNAcentral lists this ribosomal RNA (775 nucleotides) under uncultured Neocallimastigales. RNAcentral's name for it is "partial large subunit ribosomal RNA". It matches the Rfam family "Eukaryotic large subunit ribosomal RNA", at positions 23 to 634 of the family's 3401-position model. Lineage: Eukaryota; Fungi; Neocallimastigomycota; Neocallimastigomycetes; Neocallimastigales. The record is from RNAcentral.